Non-coding RNA from Chelonoidis abingdonii (Abingdon island giant tortoise), 121 nucleotides. Lineage: Eukaryota; Metazoa; Chordata; Testudines; Testudinidae. The record is from RefSeq and is a predicted model, not a curated record.
UUCUGUUUAAGUUGCUAUGGUAGGAUCGGGUCCGCAGGCAGGAUCGAGUCCUCUGAAGCCUGGGUCAGAACAGCACACAGCUGGGGAAGUUGGUUUUGAGGUAACUGGAGGACAAUCCUGU